GACGAACGCUGGCGGCGUGCUUAACACAUGCAAGUCGAACGGAAAGGCCCUGCUUUUGUGGGGUGCUCGAGUGGCGAACGGGUGAGUAACACGUGAGUAACCUGCCCUUGACUUUGGGAUAACUUCAGGAAACUGGGGCUAAUACCGGAUAGGAGCUCCUGCUGCAUGGUGGGGGUUGGAAAGUUUCGGCGGUUGGGGAUGGACUCGCGGCUUAUCAGCUUGUUGGUGGGGUAGUGGCUUACCAAGGCUUUGACGGGUAGCCGGCCUGAGAGGGUGACCGGCCACAUUGGGACUGAGAGACGGCCCAGACGCCUACGGGAGGCAGCAGUGGGGAAUAUUGCACAAUGGGCGGAAGCCUGAUGCAGCAACGCCGCGUGCGGGAUGACGGCCUUCGGGUUGUAAACCGCUUUCGCCUGUGACGAAGCGGGAGUGACGGUAAUGGGUAAAGAAGCACCGGCUAACUACGUG
RNAcentral lists this ribosomal RNA (468 nucleotides) under uncultured bacterium. RNAcentral describes it as "partial 16S ribosomal RNA". It matches the Rfam family "Bacterial small subunit ribosomal RNA", at positions 28 to 507 of the family's 1533-position model. The record is from RNAcentral.